AAAUUGAAGAGUUUGAUCAUGGCUCAGAUUGAACGCUGGCGGCAGGCCUAACACAUGCAAGUCGAACGGUAACAGGAAGCAGCUUGCUGCUUCGCUGACGAGUGGCGGACGGGUGAGUAAUGUCUGGGAAACUGCCUGAUGGAGGGGGAUAACUACUGGAAACGGUAGCUAAUACCGCAUAACGUCGCAAGACCAAAGAGGGGGACCUUCGGGCCUCUUGCCAUCGGAUGUGCCCAGAUGGGAUUAGCUAGUAGGUGGGGUAACGGCUCACCUAGGCGACGAUCCCUAGCUGGUCUGAGAGGAUGACCAGCCACACUGGAACUGAGACACGGUCCAGACUCCUACGGGAGGCAGCAGUGGGGAAUAUUGCACAAUGGGCGCAAGCCUGAUGCAGCCAUGCCGCGUGUAUGAAGAAGGCCUUCGGGUUGUAAAGUACUUUCAGCGGGGAGGAAGGCGUUGUGGUUAAUAACCACAGCGAUUGACGUUACCCGCAGAAGAAGCACCGGCUAACUCCGUGCCAGCAGCCGCGGUAAUACGGAGGGUGCAAGCGUUAAUCGGAAUUACUGGGCGUAAAGCGCACGCAGGCGGUCUGUCAAGUCGGAUGUGAAAUCCCCGGGCUCAACCUGGGAACUGCAUUCGAAACUGGCAGGCUAGAGUCUUGUAGAGGGGGGUAGAAUUCCAGGUGUAGCGGUGAAAUGCGUAGAGAUCUGGAGGAAUACCGGUGGCGAAGGCGGCCCCCUGGACAAAGACUGACGCUCAGGUGCGAAAGCGUGGGGAGCAAACAGGAUUAGAUACCCUGGUAGUCCACGCCGUAAACGAUGUCGACUUGGAGGUUGUGCCCUUGAGGCGUGGCUUCCGGAGCUAACGCGUUAAGUCGACCGCCUGGGGAGUACGGCCGCAAGGUUAAAACUCAAAUGAAUUGACGGGGGCCCGCACAAGCGGUGGAGCAUGUGGUUUAAUUCGAUGCAACGCGAAGAACCUUACCUACUCUUGACAUCCAGAGAACUUUCCAGAGAUGGAUUGGUGCCUUCGGGAACUCUGAGACAGGUGCUGCAUGGCUGUCGUCAGCUCGUGUUGUGAAAUGUUGGGUUAAGUCCCGCAACGAGCGCAACCCUUAUCCUUUGUUGCCAGCGGUUAGGCCGGGAACUCAAAGGAGACUGCCAGUGAUAAACUGGAGGAAGGUGGGGAUGACGUCAAGUCAUCAUGGCCCUUACGAGUAGGGCUACACACGUGCUACAAUGGCGCAUACAAAGAGAAGCGACCUCGCGAGAGCAAGCGGACCUCAUAAAGUGCGUCGUAGUCCGGAUUGGAGUCUGCAACUCGACUCCAUGAAGUCGGAAUCGCUAGUAAUCGUGGAUCAGAAUGCCACGGUGAAUACGUUCCCGGGCCUUGUACACACCGCCCGUCACACCAUGGGAGUGGGUUGCAAAAGAAGUAGGUAGCUUAACCUUCGGGAGGGCGCUUACCACUUUGUGAUUCAUGACUGGGGUGAAGUCGUAACAAGGUAACCGUAGGGGAACCUGCGGUUGGAUCACCUCCUUA
Molecule: ribosomal RNA, 1542 nt
Filed under: Enterobacter hormaechei
Lineage: Bacteria; Pseudomonadati; Pseudomonadota; Gammaproteobacteria; Enterobacterales; Enterobacteriaceae
Also listed under: 1 other name
Description: bacterial SSU rRNA
Rfam family: Bacterial small subunit ribosomal RNA
Source: RNAcentral